GUUUCUCUGUGUAGACUUGGCUGUCCUGGAAUUCGCUCUGUAGACCAAGUUGUCCUGGAACUCACAGAGAUCCUCCUGUCUCUGCCUCCAGAGUGCUGGGAUUAAAGGCAUAUGUCACCACCUCCCAGCUUCCCUGUGACAAUUUCUUGAGCCUUGGAGACUAACUCUGGCAUCCCUUUCUGCUCACUGAGAAGUAAUAAGCCCAUUCCAGGCACCACACCUUGUGAUGUGAAGCGUGCUCUUCCACAGUGGCAUGUGGAAACGACGGAUUCCUGUUCCAGGCCUGAUGGAUUCCAACGGAGAACAGUGUCUAGCGCCACCGCUGCCCCUCCUCCUGCUCCUAGAAUUCCUGGCCUGUCCACAGCUGCGGCCCCAAGGAGGACUCAAGGUCCAAGGGCGCCUACCAGAGCAGGGUGACACAAGGCUUCUAAACAGCCGACUUCGGCGGCGCAAGGAACAAAGGCACAGCGAUUCCAGCUGCCUGUGAGCCGCCAGCGAAGGGGAACUGUCAAGCUGCAGGUUCCUUCACAGUCGCUUGUUUUGUUUCUUGAGAUUGCCAAGGGGGCCCUGGUGCUCAACAGUAGUCCAGACUGGCAUCUCACUCCUCCUGCCUUGGCCUCCCAAGUGCUAGAAUUACAGGUAUGAGCC
Molecule: long non-coding RNA, 648 nt
Filed under: Cricetulus griseus (Chinese hamster)
Lineage: Eukaryota; Metazoa; Chordata; Mammalia; Rodentia; Cricetidae
Description: lncRNA (ENSCGRG00000025597.1)
Source: RNAcentral